This 380-nucleotide ribosomal RNA is filed under the name uncultured eukaryote. Its description in RNAcentral is "partial 18S ribosomal RNA". It matches the Rfam family "Eukaryotic small subunit ribosomal RNA", at positions 592 to 976 of the family's 1831-position model. The record is from RNAcentral.
CAAUAGCGUAUAUUAAAGUUGUUGCAGUUAGAACGCUCGUAGUCGGAUUUCGGGGCGGGCCGACCGGUCUGCCGAUGGGUACGCACUGGUCGGCGCGUCCUUCCUUCCGGAGACCGUGCCUACUCUUAACUGAGCGGGCGCGGGAGACGGAACUUUUACUUUGAAAAAAUCAGAGUGUUUCAAGCAGGCAUUGCGCUCUUGCAUGGAUUAGCAUGGGAUAAUGAAAUAGGACUUUGGUGCUAUUUUGUUGGUUUCGAACACCGAAGUAAUGAUUAAUAGGGACAGUCAGGGGCACUCGUAUUCCGCCGAGAGAGGUGAAAUUCUCAGACCAGCGGAAGACGAACCACUGCGAAAGCAUUUGCCAGGGAUGUUUUCACUGA